Molecule: ribosomal RNA, 450 nt
Filed under: uncultured Glomus
Lineage: Eukaryota; Fungi; Glomeromycota; Glomeromycetes; Glomerales; Glomeraceae
Description: SSU rRNA
Rfam family: Eukaryotic small subunit ribosomal RNA
Source: RNAcentral
AGCAGCCGCGGUAAUUCCAGCUCCAAUAGCGUAUAUUAAAGUUGUUGCAGUUAAAAAGCUCGUAGUUGAAUUUCGGGGUUAGUAGGUUGGUCAUGCCUCUGGUAUGUACUGGUCUCACUGAUUCCUCCUUCCUGAUGAGCCGUAAUGCCAUUAAUUUGGUGUUGCGGGGAAUUUGGACUGUUACUUUGAAAAAUUAGAGUGUUUAAAGCAAGCUAACGCUUGAAUACAUUAGCAUGGAAUAAUGAAAUAGGACGUUCGAUCCUAUUUUGUUGGUUUCUAGGAUUGACGUAAUGAUUAAUAGGGAUAGUUGGGGGCAUUAGUAUUCAAUUGUCAGAGGUGAAAUUCUUGGAUUUUAUUGAAGACUAACUACUGCGAAAGCAUUUGCCAAGGAUGUUUUCAUUAAUCAAGAACGAAAGUUAGGGGAUCGAAGACGAUCAGAUACCGUCGUAG